UCUCCAACGCCCAAUAUCUAGUGCAUUGUCCAAAUAUCCAAAUUCUGACCGACUUUCAAUGCUCUUGGGGAAAAUUGUCUACAAUUUUGAGAAGCUUAUAAAGUCAUUUACUCAUCUUGAUAAGGAAUUCGCUCAUAUGAGGCAGAUAACUAAAUCUUGCAAAUCCCUGGAAAGUAUUGAUGGAGCUUAUGGAAACAGUUUUGGCAUGAAAGCGAAGCUCUCUUGGGCCACCUUACAUUCUCUUCUUCAUUCUGAAAGAACUCAGUGUCGUCACAAUGGUUAUCUAUGGUUGGGGGAUUUGAUCAUCACAGAGAUUGUCGAGGAAGGGGAUGCUAGUAUAUGGUCAAGCAUCAGAAGCUUGCAGGAGAAAAUUUCUCAAGCCAGUGUUAUUG
This 392-nucleotide unclassified non-coding RNA is filed under the name Hevea brasiliensis (rubber tree). Lineage: Eukaryota; Viridiplantae; Streptophyta; Magnoliopsida; Malpighiales; Euphorbiaceae. The record is from RNAcentral.